Long non-coding RNA from Xenopus laevis (African clawed frog), 773 nucleotides. RefSeq lists it as uncharacterized. The record is from RefSeq and is a predicted model, not a curated record. The transcript has 2 exons. Lineage: Eukaryota; Metazoa; Chordata; Amphibia; Anura; Pipidae.
GGGGGUCCAUGUGAGAAGCUUUUCAAGUGAGAGUUAUUUUAUGCAAAGCAGACCCAAUGGGAGAGCUUAAACCUAUAGGGCAGUGAUCCCCAACCAGUGGCUCACAUUGCUCACCAAGCCCUUGGAUGUGGCACCCAGUGGCCUUAAAGCAGUGGCAUGGCAUUUCCUGUGGUCAACACAUGAUUGGUGUAAAUUUCAUCAUGCAGCGGAACAUCAAUCCGAAAGCAUACUUCUAAGCUAUGUAAAACCAGCUUGGAAAAGAAGCACAAAGCCAGUGUGCUGUAUUUGAUGAACUGGCCAGCACCUCAAACCAACUGAACUCUUGUGGGAACUGUAAGGUCAAAGAAAAUCCUUUACAAGCCAGUUACACAUCUCGGAAGAAGGCAUGAGUUGAAUUUUCCCCUGAAUAUCUUCCAAAACUGACAGCUUGAACGCCAAAGGCCGGCAAAGCUUGAAUUGCUGCAAAUGGAGGAUUCUUUGAUGAAUGUAAAGUUGCUGAUGAAUGAAUAGAACAUUUAUUAAAAAAAAAAAAAAAAAGGGGAAAAAUGAAUGUUAUGACAUUGGCAAUGUUUUGAUCAAUUUCUGAUCAAUUUAAUUCUACUUUGGAGAAUAGAAUUAUUAAUUUCUAUCAAAAACAUGAGCAUUUCUGGGUGAUCCAAAACUUGUUCAUUAGUAGAUAUAUACAAGCUGGUUACAGUCCUGCAUUGGGUCGUGUAAGUGCUGGUCAACAAUCUAUACAAAGUCUAGUGGAAUAAAGAGUUUAAUAACUUUCA